Molecule: long non-coding RNA, 478 nt
Organism: Dreissena polymorpha
Lineage: Eukaryota; Metazoa; Mollusca; Bivalvia; Myida; Dreissenidae
Exons: 3
Source: RefSeq, a predicted model, not a curated record
AAUGCGGUCCUACCUAUGCGCGUCAAAAUGUAAGCGAAAUAUGUGAACAAAGUGGUAGCCUGUUAGGAAUGUAUGAAUUAAUGAAGAAACUCGUGUAUUGAUAUUAUGUCAUAGAAUUGGGAAGAAAGGUUGCUGGUGGCAUAACAUUUCCCAUGUCGGACCUCGAAAGCCGCAUCACAAAUGAAUUGAGGAAUUCGAUUGCAAGAAAGCACUGUUGAAAAAAACAUCUUGUGAAAAAAUGAACUUUUUUAUAUUUGCUCUGUGUGCCGCACCCGGAUAAUGAGCGCAAAGCGGUCCUUAACAAAGGAAUGCUGGAUUUGUUGAUAGAUUAUUCCAUAGGAUGGGGGAGAAUCGCGGACAUGAACAAUGCUGUGAUUGAGAGGAAUUUCUACUCAAGAAAACAGUUUAAAAAAGGCCUUCAACGUGAAAGAGUGAACUUUUUUAUUUUGGCCGUAUAUAAGAAAACUUUGUUUUUAAA